AUGUGGCUAACCUCUGGUGUGCUUUUGCUGUUUGGACCUUUUACGGUGGCCGGUCAUCCUGCAGUUGUGCUCAGCGAUUCAGAUUUCGAUGAAUAUGGCGGCAGCAGUCCUCUGAUAGGUAUUAACAAAGUUCUGAAAGAAGUGGACUUCCAAACUCAAAAGCAGGCAGUUCCAGUUCCAGUUCCUUUGGGUUCUGCUGAGAAGUCUUUACUAGCUAUGCCACCUCAUCAAUCUAAUGAAAGUUUUCUGAAAGCUUAUGAAGUGGUGCUGAUAUUGGAUGAUCGAGAUACUUUCGGACCUCGUUCCAGAAGAAAAGUUGUUGAUAAUAUAUGCUCGCAGUUUAAUAUUCCUGUAGAGAUUAAACACUUUCCUGUUGGAGAGGCUCUUUGGAUUGCUCGCCAUAAAGAACUUGACACGGAUUAUGUUCUUGAUUUCAUUGUUGAAAGGAAAAAUGUGGAUGAUUUACUUGGCUCAAUUAAAGACAACAGAUAUAAAUAUCAAAAACUAAGACUGAAGAUAAAAGGGCAGCCCGGUGCACGUAGCUCCCGCUUGUGCAGGGUCCGGGGAAAGGUCCGACCGCUUUGGCUCUAUAGUACGCAGCCUUUCCCUAUAUUUCUGCGAGAGGCUUUUUCCAGGACUCGAUCCCAUGACCUCAUGGUCACAAGAAAUGUGGGCUAA
RNAcentral lists this ribosomal RNA (678 nucleotides) under Triticum aestivum (bread wheat). RNAcentral's name for it is "partial small subunit ribosomal RNA". The record is from RNAcentral. Lineage: Eukaryota; Viridiplantae; Streptophyta; Magnoliopsida; Poales; Poaceae.